This 411-nucleotide ribosomal RNA is filed under the name uncultured bacterium. Its description in RNAcentral is "bacterial SSU rRNA". It matches the Rfam family "Bacterial small subunit ribosomal RNA", at positions 361 to 770 of the family's 1533-position model. The record is from RNAcentral.
AUAUUGGUCAAUGGUCGGGAGACUGAACCAGCCAAGCCGCGUGAGGGAGGAAGGUACAGAGUAUCGUAAACCUCUUUUGUCAGGGAACAAAGGCGGGGACGUGUCCCCGGAUGAGUGUACCUGAAGAAAAAGCAUCGGCUAACUCCGUGCCAGCAGCCGCGGUAAUACGGAGGAUGCGAGCGUUAUCCGGAUUUAUUGGGUUUAAAGGGUGCGUAGGCGGAGUGUCAAGUCAGCGGUAAAAUUUCGGGGCUCAACCCCGUCGUGCCGUUGAAACUGACGCCCUUGAGUGAGUGAGAAGUAAGCGGAAUGCGUGGUGUAGCGGUGAAAUGCAUAGAUAUCACGCAGAACGCCGAUUGCGAAGGCAGCUUGCCGGCGCUCAACUGACGCUGAGGCACGAAAGUGCGGGUAUCG